This is a long non-coding RNA of Ictalurus punctatus (channel catfish), 9314 nucleotides long. The record is from Ensembl. NCBI's taxonomy places the organism in Eukaryota, Metazoa, Chordata, Actinopteri, Siluriformes, Ictaluridae.
CAAAGCCCAACCCAUUGAGAGGCAAAGCCAGCAACACUCAAGGGGCUAUUUUUUGCCCUGCCGCACUAAAUAAGGUCAGAGCGUGAAGGAAGUGGGUGAAGGGCCAGAGGGACUUUGCUCGGCCUUUACCCCAGGGGUAUAAAAGCCUCAGGGCAGUGGGAGGCUCUACCGAUCACUCUUAACUCUCAACACCCACCCUGUGUGUACCAUUAACACAUUGCUUUAGAUUAUUAUUUUUUUAUUUUUUUUAUUUUUUUUUUAGAUCAUCACAGUCAUGUCUGGCUGCUUUGUAUCUAAUGCUAAUUGAUUUUUUUUCCUGAGGUCCGCUGUGGUGACGAAUUUUGAUGGCAUUAUUAACCAGGCUGACCCACUUAUUUUUGGCUUUUGGGAUGGACAGGAGUGUGUGACAGUAUGGAAUAUAACUUAUAGACCAGUUUGAUGAGAUCCCAGGGAAUAAAGACAGAAAGAAAAGCCAUGUCUAAGCUGCAUCUUUGUGGUGCUGUUUCUGCAUUUUUUUCUCUCUCUCUCCUAAUGUCAGCACACUGUCCGUACUGUCUCCUACUCCUGUUUCAGAUCCCACAGAAUGUAUCUCAGAGAAUCUGUUUUUCAUAGGACAGGUGGGAGGAUGGGGGUGGGGUUUUUGCUAAAAGUACCAUGAUGCAUUGCCUAUCAGACAUGCCCAUACUGUGAUGAGAUGGGCUGGAGGCCUGUGAUUGUCAAGGUUAUUUUUUAAUCUACCUUGCUCUGUUCCUCCAGCCUUUCUAUUUUGUUUCAUUUCAACUUUUUUCCCCUGUGCUCUAUAUGAAGAAGAAAGACACCUACAAUGUCACUGGCUCCUUUUUUCCUUCUCUCUCUCUCUCUCUCUCUCUCUCUCUCUCUCUCUCUCUCUCUCUCUCUCUCCCCUUCUCUCUGCUCUCAUCCUUAAACUCUCAAACGCUGAUUCAGCUGCUGGUAUACAGACGAUCCUGCUGCCAUCCCCAUUCAGUACGGCCUCUCUUGGUAAGUGAGUGCGUAUGUGUGAAUGCAUGUAUGGAACGCGUGUUUGUAGGUGAACACUCUUCAUCUUGUCUUGUCUCUACUGCUGCAUGUCUGUGUUUAUGUAUGUGUGAAUAUGCAGCCAGAGCAGCGCUGAGCUCUCUGCUUUGGCAUAUUGCUCCUGUCAAAGUUGCUUUAGUGCUAGCACUAGUGGAGAUGCUAGCACCCUUAUUAUACUACUGCAUCACACUACAACCUGUGCUAGGUUAUGCCAGCACAAGGAGCUGAUGCAAUUUGUGAAGUUUGACAGUGACAGAGUUUUUUUUAUUAUUGUUUUAGAGUUUUAGAUUAUUUUUUUUGCACAAUUUUUGCUGUUGUAUUUUUGCUGUUGUGUAAAAAAAAUUACAUUUAUUUUUAGGAUAAGAAAUAUUAGUAUAAAUAUUUUAUUAGCAUAAAUAUUAGUGUUACAGCAGGGCAGGGACAGAAUGUAGGGUACUUUGUCUUUACUCACUUUCUGUCUUUGAGAUCACAAUUCCAAAGUGAUCCUUUCAGAGAGAUGUAAGUAGGGACAGUCAGUGAUGAUGAGACAGAAAGGGACUGACUCACAUAACCUUGACCUCUCUAUGGGACAUAAAGGCCAGUCAGCUCUCUACCUGCUAAUUUUACCCCGUUGGCAUGGUGGUGACCCAGGCCAUGUUUAAAUGCAGACUGAACCAGAGCUUGGAGGAUCAGGUGACAGUUGGACUGGUCUCAGAUUGAACAGCUGCUGAAGGCGGAGGACUGUGGUGUGGGGAGCUCAGGAUUGGCUAGUGCAGGACAGGAAUGCUACACCUGUUCCUAAAGUGUGUGUGUGUGUGUGUGUGUGUGUGUGUGUGUGUGUGUGUGUGUGUGUGUGUGUGUGUGUGUUCUGACAAACAUAUUUCCAAGUAUUGGUUCCAUCUAUAGUGUAGGGAUUGAAAGCUCAUAUUAGAAGUUGGCUGUGCACAAGAGAGAGAAAGAGGGUGGGGGAGACCUGGAUUUACACAACUGGUAGAAUCAAAGAAGGACGGAUGAAAAAUAAAGGCGGGUGAAUGCGGGAGAAGGAAGGAGUAGUGAUUUAUGAUGACUUUCAGUUUAAUUACAGAGAAGCUGCUAUAGGGAGAGACAACUAUAGGCAGUCAGCCAUUAGCCACUGGAUGCUGACUUCUGCUGGUGUCAGUAAACUACUUCAUCAAGUAUGGAUCAUUUAUAAAAUGCUUGUUUGUUAAGCAAUCUGGUUAUGUGGACUGGAACAGGCUAUGCGGUCAGAUUAUUUCGCAGACACAGAAAAGUACACAUACUAUAUCUAUUUAAAUGUUGAUGUGAUAAUGACAGCUCCAUCUAUCCACAUUUUAAUAGAGUCAUGUAAUGGAAAAAAGCAAUGUUGUAGUUUACUGUGGGGUUCAAAUGACAGAUGUAAAUGACAGAUAGAAGGAGGUAUAUUCUCAUAGAUAGUUGUGUGUAUUCUGUUUGUUGUGUAUAUAGGUAAUUGGUGCAUAUUAUUUUGGCUGAUUUUUAUGGCUUACACUGAAAGCAUACGGUAAUAAAUGAUCUCAGAUAAUAUAUGAUCUCAGGUAAUAUAUUGUGUUAUUUAAUACUUAAGUAAUUGAUUAUGAGCUUCCAUGUGUGUUUCUCCUUAAGUAAGUGGAAAAAAAAUUGUGGGUCGUUGUAUGUGUAAUUAUAUUAUGGUGAUAACUUUAUAUUAUAUUGCAUAGUCUGCAAUAUAUGGUGAUUUGGGGACAAACCUGGGGAUAGUUAAACAUCUGCUUCAUAUUUGCUCAAUUAAACAACAUUCAGAACUACUAUCAGUGUUUAAUAUAAGUGUUUCCUUGUUAGACAUUUUAAUUACCAGAUUAUUGUCUUUGUAUGUACAUAAAGAAAAAGCAGUCUAAUGUAGAUAUCUAAUUAGUAACAAUUUGUAUAAAUAUGAUUUGGAUACUUAAUAUAAUACGUGCUCACCUGAUGCAUGUACACACUUAUACACAUACUUUGACACAGCAUGAGGGUCAUUAGACUACUGAGGCUGGUUGGUUCCUCCUCUGAGUUCCCUGUGCUCUAAUGGUCAAACUGAGUGUCACGCGAAGGUAAAACACACAAACACACACACACACACACACACACACACACACACACACACAUACACACACACACACACACACACACACACAUACACACACACACACACACACACACACCACAUAUAGUGUCUCUGCUAUCCAACACUGCAGUGAGGUGAUUGCAGUGAGAGCAAUGACACUUCACAUUGAUGGUCUAAUUAUUUAAGAGGAAACUACACUGUGUGCUACUUGUCUAUAAACUGGAGUUUAUCACUGAAGGAUGUGGUGGGGAUAUAAAAAAAAAGAUGAUACAAAUUCACACUCAUAUACACAGAGGUCUUCAUUGUGUUCAAGUGUGUAUUUAUAUAUGUAACUACUGUAUAUCCCAGGAGGUCCAUGUGUAUAAACACACAUACAUAUGCAUUUAUAAUUAGAUCAUUAUUGGAUGCAUGUAAUCAGGGGGGAAGAGCAAGAGAGAUGGGGAAUGAGAGAGUGGGAUAUACUGUCAAGGGUCAAUGAAAGUAAGGGGAGGGGAAAAGAGCCUGAGGAAGAGAGAAUGAGGAGGAGGGUGUGUGUGGUGCAAGCUCUAUAGGGUGUGCAUUAUGGACUGAGAGAGUGAGAAAGCCAGGCAAUUGGAGGAUGAGAGGGGGAAUGCAGUGAGGAUAGGUCAGUGAUACAGAUCAUCAGAUAACCAUUUAUCUCCUCUGGACCAUAUUAGCUACACAUCAGAGUGUUCAAGCCUAUUUAGGACAGUGAUGAGAGAACCGAGGAGCCCUGCAGUGGACAAACUUUCCUGCUUGUGUGUUGGGGGGACAGACAGAGAGAUGGGAAGAGGGAGAGAGUGUUAGAGUGUGAAGCAGAAUGAGAAAGAGACAGAAAGAAAGAAAGACACAUAGCAAGAAAUAGGAAAAAAGGAGGAAAGAGAUUGCAGAGGCCGGAGUAGAAGAGCGGAAGAGCCAAGACACUCUCUUCCUUCCUGUUUGGUGCAUUGGCCCAUUAGAAACUGAACCUGUGGGACUUAAUCUGAUGGCUACCCACUAGAUUCUGACUGUGGAUGUGAGCUCCAGCACUACUGUCCCCCUCAUCACAGAAUGCUUUGCUAAAGCUGGUAAAAUGGAACCAAAUCAACUGUUCUAUGGAUUUGGUCCCCUUCAACCAGCUGUAGCUGUGCAUUGAUCACCCCAGAGUGCAGUAAGAUAGACAAAGAAGAUCUGGGAGCACACAAACACAUACUAACACUCUACAGGAUUCACCUUACAACUAUAUACCAUAUCAGACAGGAUCUGAGCAUCAUAUGGAUUUCCUGAUCCAGCUAGAACACCAACCUGAUGCAUUUCACCCCACACUUUAUGAUCUCUAAUAACAUGAUUAAAUACUGUGAGGUUACUAAAACCCAGGUGAACAUUAGCCAUGUCAUGCUGUUCAACUCUUUAUGACUGAUAAUAUCUGAUUAUGAAUCCAGUCCUGACUGCAGUCAGUGGAAUAGGGGUUUGCUGAGUUUUAUGGCUGCCCAUUGAUUUCUUGUCUUGCUGGUGAAAGAGAGAGAUGUGGAGGGACAGGACAGGAGAGAGGAAUGCACGUCAGGCUGCUGAAUAAGUAAAGCAAUCGUUCCUUUUUUCCUGUUUUUUUUUUUCCCUUCACAUUCGUCGUGAUCCUUAAUGCUUGUUUCUGAUCAAUAAAAGCUCAUCCUGAGGUCCAUAAAUGCUAAAGUGGGUGUUUUUUUUUUAAUGCCAGCUUCUUGGUGGAAGGAGGAAGGUCAAAGUGAAGGGAAAUUGUGAGGAAGAAAAGGAAAAGAAGGGAAGAUGGAUGUUUGUAUGGAGGACAGGAGCUGGCAGAUGACAUGACAGUGCUUUUGAAUAGUGAAAAAGAGAAUGGGUAACAUGAUGCCUCACACUAUCCUAUAUUCUAGCAUAGGCUUGUUACAGGAAUUGAAUAUUAGAUACAUUUCUAGUAUUCAAAUAACUAAUUAAAACAGCACCAACCAAAUAUCAAGCAAAAUUCAACUUCUAAUCCUUAUUAUUAUUGAAGCCUUAAGCAUUUGUAACAGUAAGGAAUUUUAAGUCAUGACAUCCCAAGGCCUCUAUUUUCACACAGCAUAAUUUGCUGGUAUAACAGCAGGACAUAAUAUAUUUAGUUGGGCAGGAACUCUCUCUCUCUCUCUCUCUCUCUCUCUCUCUCUCUCUCUCUCUCUCUCUCUCUCUCUCUCUCUCUUUCAAGUUCUGCCCAGAAAUGAAUAUGGCUAUGCAGACUAUAUUGGGCAGCAUGAACAGUUGAAAUCUGCUGGUGAAGUGGGAUUUUCAAACUUACUUUGGUCCAGAACUGCUGGAAUUUCUGACUUAUAGCUCACAACCCAGUUUUGUGGCUGUACUCUGCUUCUAUCAACCUACAUUAAUGUAAAUAGGGUUCUUCAACCAACUAUUAAAUACUACUGAAUGGAUUAUUUUAAAGUGAUAAAUAAAAACAAACAACUGAGUUGUUGCUACUAAAUGUGAAUCAAACAGGUGUCCCCUUAUUGCACAUGGAACAUCAUAUAAUGAAUAGAUUUAAAAGAAUUACAUAACUAAGAGGUGGGGGAUUAGGGAGGUGAGGGAUUAGUCAAUCUAGAACUUUGUGAAAAGGCAGCUCUGCCUCAGAGGCAGGAGGAAAUUAAUUGGUUCAAACAGCCAGUUGGUGGAGUUUACUUUUCAAAACUUUGCAUUAAUUCCCUAGCUAGUUACAGUACUGCUCUUUGUUAGCUUGGCCUAUGACUUUUGAUUUUGCCUGUAUAAAAGGGGUUCCUAUUUAUAUGAUGUUGGCAAAAAUUAUUUUCCAUUUUCUGUUAGUGGUGUUAAAUUAGAAAACUGUUCAGAAAGCUGAUGUGGCCGCACAAGGGUAUAAACAAAGAGUAUAAACAAAAAGGACUGGAACAAUGACAGAACAUAAAAUAACCAAAAAAAAUAAGGAACACCACACCUCAAUAUGUUGACUAUGCCACCCAGGUAGCAGGCCCCUGGGGUGGCGUAGUCGACAUAGGCUUAAUCUAACAGCCACAGAACUCACAGGUUCGUUACAGUUAGAAAUAGGUAUAAGACAUAAGUAGAGUACAAAACAUUUUUAUUUACAGCAUCACCAGUUCUCGCUACACACAGAAGAAAAUGAAAACAAAAAGGCACAAAAAAACACAUACAACUUACACACGUACCACACCAGACUUGGGUCAGCACUCAUAAUCACCCACGACAAGGGUCACCUGUAAUCUCCUACUCAAAAGCACACCGCAACCACCUCUGAAUAUUCAACUGACACAGCACCCCAAAAUUGAGCACAGCAGUCAGUGAAGGAUACCACCACUAGAGGAGAGGAGAAAGCGCGGAGCUCGCUGACUUCGGCUGGCCAAUUCUGAAAAAAAUAAUAAUAAUACAAACAGUAUAAACCACUAGAACACACAAACAUCCAAGGAAACACACACUCUCCAAAAUGUUCCUCCUAAAAGUAGACCACAUUAUACAAAAAUGCACAUGGUCACAAGAAGACAAACAAAAAACAUAACCAAACAACCAGGCCCGUAAGCCAAAGUAGGCCGAUGUGCUGUGUGGCGGUAAUGGGCCGUAGUUAACACACUCAACAAACAAUUGCACCUAAAUUGCAACGAUAAAGAAAAUAUUCAAAACAAAUUCAAUCACAAAAGAAAAACAAUAAUAAAGAUAACACAAGAAAAAAAGACACCAAAUACAAAUAAAAUCAAAAAUAGCACAAGCUGCGACUGCUAAGCAAACAUGUACAUUUGUACAUUGUACAUGCACACUGCAUCAACACCAUCUGAAAAACAUAACAUGGAAACUACCAUGCAGCGAGCCGAAUUACCAACCCAGCCAAGUGAUAGAGACGGUCCAAUGAUAAGCCACGGCUGGUCAAACAAACCAAAUCAUUUCCAUAGUAAAUUCUAGAAAAAUGAGUAGAUGUAGCCAAUCUGGUAGACAAAUCCGUCAGCCCAGUCCGACAGCCCACCGCAACGUCCCUCUGCGUAUAAAAACCCCUUAAAUGGUAAGUGGCAUCACACGGGGAUCCUCAUCAUGGAGGGAAAGCACCUGGAAAUGUGCUUUAAUAAAGAAAGGUACACCGCGAGGCUCCUCAGUCAACUCUCAGGCACUCACACACCACGCCGGAAUUGCAGUGACGGAAAAGACGACGCCCAGAAUGACACACUUCCAUAUAACCCGCACGUUACUUUUAUAACCUGCAUGAACAGGAUUUAAUAAGCCACACCCUGCCCCCUGACUAGCUCGUACUUAGGCAAAGUAAACCCCAUCUGCAACACUACUAAUACACUAUAAUAAGGCACAUAUGCCAUAAACUCUUUUGAUUAUUAACAUUACCUUUUUAGUUAGCUGGCAACAAUGUUAUCUAACAACUUUUUGGAUAUCUAGCAUGCUUGUUGCAUAAAUGUUUAAAUAAAGUGUAAAUCUAUGAAAUAUUGGAAUGACACACUGCCUCUAAAGUUUUUUUUUUUAAGCUCUGCCCAUGGGUUGUUAAGCAAAAAAAUUUCAUUCUGCCGCUGAGGCAGAGCUGCCUUCAUAAUGAUUGGCGAUUUUACCAGUUGAUCUGUAUAAUAGAGUGCUCAUAUAUUAUUGAACACGAGAAAGUGCAACAACAACUUAGACAAUGCAUUAGUUAUAGUUUAUGGCAAACAGCAAGUUAUUAUUAUUCUUUUGUUAUUAUUAUUAUUUCUUUACUAACGUAUUAACUUGAAAUCUGUGAUCAAAGCUUCAUUAUAAAUUCCAAAAAAGGGUACUAUGCUGAUCCACAAGUAACCAUGUUAAGCAGCUCUCACUGAGUAUCUCAGUAGCUCGAUAAUAUAUUAAAACAAAACCCAACUUUUGUAAAAUUACACCACUCUGGGCCACAAUGCCACCUGUGCUGGCAAUCAAAAAAAUACAUAAUGUAUGUGCCAUAACUUCAUGUCCAAAAUCAUGAUCUUGUGUCUGGUUUUCCCAUUUGCAUUGUGAUCACAAAAAUGCGUUACACCAGCUCCACCUCAUCAUUCACUUGUUUCAGCCUCAACCUAACCUCUGCUGUCAGCCUUGUUAUGUGGUGUGGUAAUGGUCACAGACGUUCGAUGUGUGUGUGUGCGUGUGUGUGUGUGUGUGUGUGUGUGUGUGUGUGUGUGUUAAAGGAAAACAGAGCAGAACCAUUUCCCCUGUGUAAAACAUUUAAAUCUGUUAUUUGUCUUUUACUGGCUGAUAAAAGAUCCCAUUACAAAAUUACUGUGGUGAGUCCUGCUCUCUCUUUCUCGCACGCGUGCACACACACACACACACACACACACACACACACACACACACAAAUAAACAAUAAACCAACACACACCCAGAUAUAAAUGGGUAUAUAUUUUUUUUACAUAGUGCAGUAUUACCUGUACUGUAAAUGAAGUAUUGUACUGCAAACUGUGCAAAUGCAAGCUAAUUGAGACAUGUGAAUUGUUAAGAAUUUACAAGACUGACCAUAAAUUACAAUCACACACUCACACACACACACACACACACACACACACACACACACAGUAUUGUAACUCAGCCAUAAUAAAAUAUGAUAAGUCUGUCCUUUGCUGGAAAUGGAUUUACAUUGCAGAUGACAUUGGGGGAAAGGAAGCAGUGUUGCCAAGCCACAUAAAACAAUGACAGACAUUUUAAUAUUGAGAUUGAGAGGAAAGCCGGCUGCUGUGUCUUGUGUCAAAUAGGACACCAGAUGGACUGGACACAUUUUACUCAGACUGCAUUGAUGUUUGAUCAUAUUUAUCACCUUCUGCAUGACACAGACCAGUAAAGCACAAGGUUACACACCACAUCUACACACAAAAAAAUUAAAUGUUGGAUUUACUUAACUUUGUUAUGUCAACAGAUUCCAUGUUACUGGGUUAAUUUGCAUAUUGCUGGGUUAAUUUGCUGGGUUAUAAAUAAAUAACUGGGUUAAUUUGCAUCAUGUUGUUUAGUUAAAUCCAUUUGACUUAAUUUUGUUCAAAACUAUUUGGUAAAUUAAGUUCAAUUAUCCUAUUUUUAAAUAAUUUUUAGAUAGUUUUUUUUAUUAUUUAUUUAUUGUUCAACAAUCAAAACUUCAAAGUACAUCCCCACAAUAUUCAAUAGUCACCUUUGCAAUUUCAUAUUCAGCCACUAGUCAUUAUGUCACCAGCGAAUCCAUUUCCUGGAAUGCACCACCAACUACAAACAUGGCCAAAGACGACUACACUUCCUACUCACACACACACACACACACACACACACACACACA